CCAGCUUCCACUUUAAGACUAUCAUUACUGGACCUGAUCAAGGGCAAGCGCUGCAGCCAAGCUUAGAUCACAAAACAGCUCAAGCAUAAGAUGGCUUCUCUUCUGCCAGCAAAGCCAGGCCUGGUUCUCUUCCUCCGGGAGCCCUCUACCCUGCGGCUCACAGAGCCUCCCAAGUUCCUCCAGGCAGGUUCUUUACCCACUGAGCUACGAGGGAGGCCCUCACGGGAGCAAGAGAGCAACGCAGAUGCAGAGAGUGGAUCUGCCCGUUCCCGACCAGCGACUCUGCAGGUGUGAUGUCACCACAAAGAAGCUGGAAAAGGACGAGCAAGAAGGCAUGACCCUGAGGGCCUGACAUGGUUCCAUUGGCUCCAUCUAGCCAUGGCUCCAGUGCAGUGACUGAUGCAACUUUGCCAGUCAGUGGGGUGAGAGCCCCUUUUCAGAGAGAACAUCACAGCAUCACUAGCAUGUUGGAACUUCCCUGACCAGGGAUCAUGACCCCAGCAGUGGAAGCACAGAGUUUCAACCACUGGACCACCAGGGAAGCCCCAAAAUGUUUAAUUUUGACACUAAAGGCAGGAAAGAUCUCCAAACCAUAGAGACAUCAUUCAACACUCCCUUCCUUCCAAGAAGAAAAGAGAAGCAGGUCACAUUGCUGCUGAGAAGUGAAACAUCAAGAACCUGAACCUCAUUAAGGCCGGAGACCAGCUGUGAUCUCAGCUAAAAGACCACAAGUGCGAGUCCCGACCUGAGUUGCACAGUUUCGGCCUCAGGGACUCACUGGGGCUUGUGGAAAUGCAAU
This is a long non-coding RNA of Bos taurus (domestic cattle), 799 nucleotides long. The record is from Ensembl. NCBI's taxonomy places the organism in Eukaryota, Metazoa, Chordata, Mammalia, Artiodactyla, Bovidae.